RNAcentral lists this ribosomal RNA (254 nucleotides) under uncultured bacterium. Its description in RNAcentral is "partial 16S ribosomal RNA". It matches the Rfam family "Bacterial small subunit ribosomal RNA", at positions 524 to 776 of the family's 1533-position model. The record is from RNAcentral.
UACAGAGGGUGCGAGCGUUAAUCGGAAUUACUGGGCGUAAAGCGCGCGUAGGCGGCUUUGCAAGUCGAGUGUGAAAUCCCCCAGGCUUAACCUGGGAACUGCAUUCGAGACUGCAUAGCUAGAGUAUGGGAGAGGGAAGUGGAAUUUCAGGUGUAGCGGUGAAAUGCGUAGAUAUCUGAAGGAACAUCAGUGGCGAAAGCGACUUCCUGGACCAAUACUGACGCUCAUGUGCGAAAGCGUGGGGAGCAAACAGG